RNAcentral lists this ribosomal RNA (497 nucleotides) under uncultured bacterium. RNAcentral describes it as "partial 16S ribosomal RNA". It matches the Rfam family "Bacterial small subunit ribosomal RNA", at positions 28 to 507 of the family's 1533-position model. The record is from RNAcentral.
GAUGAACGCUGGCGGCGUGCCUAAUACAUGCAAGUCGAGCGAACAGAUAGGGAGCUUGCUCCUUUGACGUUAGCGGCGGACGGGUGAGUAACACGUGGGUAACCUACCUAUAAGACUGGAAUAACUCCGGGAAACCGGGGCUAAUACCGGAUAACAUUUAGAACCGCAUGGUUCUAAAGUGAAAGAUGGUUUUGCUAUCACUUAUAGAUGGACCCGCGCCGUAUUAGCUAGUUGGUAAGGUAACGGCUUACCAAGGCAACGAUACGUAGCCGACCUGAGAGGGUGAGCGGCCACACUGGAACUGAGACACGGCCCAGACUCCUACGGGAGGCAGCAGUGGGGAUUAUUCCGCAAUGGGCGCAAGCCUGACGGAGCAACGCCGCGUGAGUGAUGAAGGUCUUCUGAUCGUAGACCUCUUUUAUUAGGGAAGAACAACUGUGUAAGUACCUCUGCACGUCUUGACGGUACCUAAUCAGAAAGCCACGGCUAACUUCGUG